GUGUCUGUAGCUCAGUGGUAGAUAGAGUCUACUUCUAAGUAGAAGGUCGUAGGUUUAAUCCCUACCUAGCGCG
RNAcentral lists this transfer RNA (73 nucleotides) under Spinacia oleracea (spinach). It matches the Rfam family "tRNA". From Rfam's summary of the family: Transfer RNA (tRNA) molecules are approximately 80 nucleotides in length. Their secondary structure includes four short double-helical elements and three loops (D, anti-codon, and T loops). Lineage: Eukaryota; Viridiplantae; Streptophyta; Magnoliopsida; Caryophyllales; Amaranthaceae. The record is from Rfam by way of RNAcentral.